UACGGAGGGUGCGAGCUUUGUCCGGAAUCACUGGGCGUAAAGGGCGCGUAGGCGGCCUGAUAAGUAGGGGGUGAAAUCCUGCGGCUUAACCGCAGGGCUGCCUUCUAAACUGUCAGGCUAGAGCACAGUAGAGGCAGGUGGAAUUCCCGGUGUAGCGGUGGAAUGCGUAGAGAUCGGGAAGAACAUCAGUGGCGAAGGCGGCCUGCUGGGCUGUUGCUGACGCUGAGGCGCGACAGCGUGGGGAGCAAACAGG
This 253-nucleotide ribosomal RNA is filed under the name uncultured bacterium. RNAcentral's name for it is "partial 16S ribosomal RNA". It matches the Rfam family "Bacterial small subunit ribosomal RNA", at positions 524 to 776 of the family's 1533-position model. The record is from RNAcentral.